Molecule: RNase P RNA, 304 nt
Filed under: pig gut metagenome
Description: Bacterial RNase P class B
Rfam family: Bacterial RNase P class B
About the family: Ribonuclease P (RNase P) is a ubiquitous endoribonuclease, found in archaea, bacteria and eukarya as well as chloroplasts and mitochondria. Its best characterised activity is the generation of mature 5'-ends of tRNAs by cleaving the 5'-leader elements of precursor-tRNAs.
Source: RNAcentral
GAAAUGUUAGGAAAGUCCAUGCUAGCACAGCCUGUGAUGGCUGUAGUGUUUGUGCCAGUCCAAUAAAUAAGACUGGGUACCAGAAAUGGUAACGGCAAAAAUAUAGCCUAAGUCUAUGAUAUGGCUGUAUCUAACGUGCCACAGUGACGAAUUAACUAGAAAUGGUUGAGUGAAACGAGGUAAACCCCUCAAGCUAGAAACCCAAAUUUGGUAGGGGAGUCUUCAAGAGCGAACCGAAGCUUAAGAAGGAUACGAAAGUAUAGAUAGAUGGUUACCACUAGAAAUAGUACAGAACAUGGCUUAU